Molecule: ribosomal RNA, 497 nt
Filed under: uncultured bacterium
Lineage: Bacteria
Description: partial 16S ribosomal RNA
Rfam family: Bacterial small subunit ribosomal RNA
Source: RNAcentral
GAUGAACGCUGGCGGCGUGCCUAAUACAUGCAAGUCGAGCGAACAGACGAGGAGCUUGCUCCUUAGACGUUAGCGGCGGACGGGUGAGUAACACGUAGGUAACCUCCCUAUAAGACUGGGAUAACUUCGGGAAACCGGAGCUAAUACCGGAUAAUAUUUCGAACCGCAUGGUUCGAUAGUGAAAGAUGGCUUUGCUGUCACUUAUAGAUGGACCUGCGCCGUAUUAGCUAGUUGGUAAGGUAACGGCUUACCAAGGCAACGAUACGUAGCCGACCUGAGAGGGUGAUCGGCCACACUGGAACUGAGACACGGUCCAGACUCCUACGGGAGGCAGCAGUAGGGAAUCUUCCGCAAUGGGCGAAAGCCUGACGGAGCAACGCCGCGUGAGUUAUGAAGGUCUUCGGAUCGUAAAACUCUGUUAUUAGGGAAGAACAAAUGUGUAAGUAACUGUGCACGUCUUGACGGUACCUAAUCAGAAAGCCACGGCUAACUACGUG